UUUAGGAGGAGUUGUUAGAUGAGGUAAGUAGAGAGUAAAAAGUAGUUGAAUUUUUUUAAUAAGAAGAGAUGAUAGAGGGAUUUAUUGUCAAAUAUAGAAAAUAGACAUCUUUAAUGAGAGAAAGUAAAAAUGAAAGAUGGACAUCUUAAGUGGGACGGAGAUAGUAUAUUAUUUCUGUAAAAUAACUUAAAUUUUUUUUGAAGUCAUCACCUACUUCAUUACUUCCUUCAUUUCUUUAUACUUUUCCAGAACUCACAAGUGUAGUGCUAAAUCCUUCUGCUUCCGAGAGAGAGAGAGAGGAGCAACCUAGAGAGAGAAGGGCGCCGGACUGACCUUGUGAGGACUCUCCAAUACCAUGUUUAAAAUCAUUUCAGCAGUUCCCAGCCUGUCAAAAAACGGACUAUUCCAUUACAGAUAGUAUUGGAAAUGAAUGGAAUGGUCCGACUAGCAUGCUAAUGGAAUGGAUUCUGGAUUACAUGCAAAAGUAGAGGCAAAUUGGAUGCAAAUUCAGUAGUUUGAGAAGAAGGAAUCCACAAGACACAAACUGCCCAGUUUGAUGGAUUGGCCAGUGUCUGAGCAAUGUUGACAUCUCUUCAAAGUCGCAUUUCAAAGCAAAGUUGACGAUUCUUUGUGCUACCAACGCCCACAAGUGACACUUUUGAAGGCAAAAGAAGCCAACUACCAUCAUAGGGAGUGGAUAAGACUUCCACGACAGAUUGGUUGGAAGAUGUGUAACAAAAUCAACAAAACUCAUCUUUUGGCCUAACUUUUGAACCACUUUGUCACUUUCUUUAGUUUUAGUUUAGUUUUAUUUCUCUCUCUAGGAACUUUUCUCUCUUCCUUAAGAAGAGAGAUUUCAAACUCAAGGCUGCGAAGAUCAUUGUUCAUCAUGGGUUGAAGUACUAGUAAUUUAGUAGUAGUGUUUAUUUUCUCUAGUUGUUUGUUCUUAACUUGUGGAGUUCUUUUGCACCUUUAUUACUCUUAUUUGUUGUUGUUGUUCUUGUUUUAGAAGCUUAUUUCAAGUAGUUAUUACUCUAAGUGUUUGUGUA
Salvia splendens (bonfire salvia) is the source of this 1049-nucleotide long non-coding RNA. RefSeq lists it as uncharacterized. Lineage: Eukaryota; Viridiplantae; Streptophyta; Magnoliopsida; Lamiales; Lamiaceae. The record is from RefSeq and is a predicted model, not a curated record. The transcript is spliced from 2 exons.